RNAcentral lists this ribosomal RNA (1491 nucleotides) under uncultured prokaryote. Its description in RNAcentral is "partial 16S ribosomal RNA". It matches the Rfam family "Bacterial small subunit ribosomal RNA". The record is from RNAcentral.
GAGAGUUUGAUCCUGGCUCAGAUUGAACGCUGGCGGCAGGCCUAACACAUGCAAGUCGAGCGGUAACAGAGAGUAGCUUGCUACUCUGCUGUAUAGCGGCGGACGGGGGAGUAAUGCAUGGGAAUCUGCCCAGUAGUGGGGGACAACAGUUGGAAACGACUGCUAAUACCGCAUACGCCCUACGGGGGAAAGUGGGGGACCUUCGGGCCUCACGCUACUGGAUGAGCCCAUGUCAGAUUAGCUAGUUGUAAUGGCCUACCAAGGCGACGAUCCGUAGCUGGUCUGAGAGGAUGAUCAGCCACACUGGGACUGAGACACGGCCCAGACUCCUACGGGAGGCAGCAGUGGGGAAUAUUGCACAAUGGGCGCAAGCCUGAUGCAGCCAUGCCGCGUGUGUGAAGAAGGCCUUCGGGUUGUAAAGCACUUUCAGUUGUGAGGAAAAGUUGGUGGUUAAUACCCAUCAGCCGUGACGUUAGCAACAGAAGAAGCACCGGCUAACUCCGUGCCAGCAGCCGCGGUAAUACGGGGGGGGCAAGCGUUAUUCGGAAUUAUUGGGCGUAAAGGGCGCGUAGGCGGUCUGAUAAGUUGGAUGUGAAAGCCCUGGGCUCAACCUAGGAACUGCAUUCAAAACUGUCAGGCUAGAGUAUGGUAGAGGAUAGUGGAAUUUCCGGUGUAGCGGUGAAAUGCGUAGAUAUCAGAAGGAACAUCAGUGGCGAAGGCGACUCCCUGGCCAAAGACUGACGCUCAUGUGCGAAAGUGUGGGUAGCGAACAGGAUUAGAUACCCUGGUAGUCCACACCGUAAACGCUGUCUACUAGCUGUUUGUGGAUUUAAUCCGUGAGUAGCGAAGCUAACGCGAUAAGUAGACCGCCUGGGGAGUACGGCCGCAAGGUUAAAACUCAAAUGAAUUGACGGGGGCCCGCACAAGCGGUGGAGCAUGUGGUUUAAUUCGAUGCAACGCGAAGAACCUUACCUACUCUUGACAUACUAGAAACUUUUCAGAGAUGAAUUGGUGCCUUCGGGAAUCUAGAUUCACGUGCUGCAUGGCUUGUCGUCAGCUCGUGUUGUGAAAUGUUGGUAGUCCCGCACGAGCCGCAACCCUUGAUUCUUAGUGCCGCAUAAGUGGGACUUAGGAAACUGCGUGAUAAACCGGAGGAAGGUGGGGACGAGCCUCAAGUCCACUCACAUGGGGCCCUUACGGGAUGGGCUACACACGUGCUACAAUGGCAGGUUCAGAGGGCAGCAAUCUUGCGAGAGUGAGCGGAUCCCAAAAAACUGUUCGUAGUCCGGAUUGGAGUCUGCAACUCGACUCCAUGAAGUCGGAAUCGCUAGUAAUCGCAGAUCAGAAUGCUGCGGUGAAUACGUUCCCGGGCCUUGUACACACCGCCCGUCACACCAUGGGAGUGGGCUGCAAAAGAAGUGGGUAGCUUAACAUAGGGCGCUCACCACUUUGUGGUUCAUGACUGGGGUGAAGUCGUAACAAGGUAGCCGA